Long non-coding RNA from Salvelinus namaycush (lake trout), 460 nucleotides. RefSeq lists it as uncharacterized. The transcript is spliced from 3 exons. The record is from RefSeq and is a predicted model, not a curated record. NCBI's taxonomy places the organism in Eukaryota, Metazoa, Chordata, Actinopteri, Salmoniformes, Salmonidae.
UAGUAGACCUCCUGUAGUAGACUAGUACUGUAGUAGACUGUAGACAGUGUGGUGGACUGUAGAGGAAAUGAGAAUCCUACGAUCACAUGUGUUUUCUUACAGAAGCAACAGCCAGUGCAGUCAGUGAAUGGUUACUACCAGCUGACUGGCGUAGUCUCUCAUUUGGGAGGCUCCGCAAACUCCGGGCACUACAUUAGUGACAUCUUGCAUGCCAGUGGAAACUGGUUCUGCUGUAACGACAGCCAGGUGUCAAUGUCCAAUGAAGCCACUGUGCUGAGGACCAGAGCCCGGAGUGCCUACAUGCUCUUCUAUAUGUUCAGGGCAAGAGAGCGGGAGGCCCCAGCACACAGGGCCUAACAGGGCCACCAGCAUCAGCCCCAGCCUAAACAGGGGCAGCACCUGGACAGCCUCCAAACACUCAGACCUGCCUCAACAGUGGUAGUACCAGGCCCAGUCUCAA